Molecule: non-coding RNA, 23 nt
Filed under: Arabidopsis thaliana (thale cress)
Lineage: Eukaryota; Viridiplantae; Streptophyta; Magnoliopsida; Brassicales; Brassicaceae
Source: RNAcentral
UCCUCAGUUUACAGGUGAUUGAC